Molecule: ribosomal RNA, 435 nt
Filed under: Diutina catenulata
Lineage: Eukaryota; Fungi; Ascomycota; Pichiomycetes; Serinales; Debaryomycetaceae
Description: eukaryotic LSU rRNA
Rfam family: 5.8S ribosomal RNA (bases 132-284)
Source: RNAcentral
UUGGAAGUAAAAAAAUCGUAACAAGGUUUCCGUAGGUGAACCUGCGGAAGGAUCAUAAAAAACUAAUUUACACGCGAUUUAAAAUUGCUUACUUCAAUAACCUAUUAAACAAUCAACCAACUAAUACCAAAAACUUCCAACAACGGAUCUCUUGGUUCUCGCAUCGAUGAAGAACGCAGCGAAAUGCGAUACGUAAUAUGAAUUGCAGAUUUUGUGAAUCAUCGAAUCUUUGAACGCACAUUGCGCCCGUGGGUAUUCCCGCGGGCAUGCGUGUGUGAGCGGUUAUCUCCCUCGCAGGUAAUGGACAUACGGCGUCAGCUGUUCCUCCAAAAAGUGAUUGGUGUAGUAUUACAGUUUACUCACAACCAUACUUUUUCCCUCACACACGUAAGACUACCCGCUGAACUUAAGCAUAUCAAAAGGCCGGAGGAACUG